Molecule: unclassified non-coding RNA, 189 nt
Filed under: fungal sp.
Lineage: Eukaryota; Fungi
Description: partial internal transcribed spacer region
Rfam family: Eukaryotic small subunit ribosomal RNA (bases 1-46)
Source: RNAcentral
AAGUCGUAACAAGGUUUCCGUAGGUGAACCUGCGGAAGGAUCAUUAAAAAACUAUUAUCUGUGCUUCUGGGCGACAGAAGCGUGGGACAUUUGCGCUGGGGCGGUUGCCUCGGUCCACAUAGAGCUGUUUGUCAUGUUGAUGGAUGUAUCAAUACAACACAACUUUUAACAAUGGAUCUCUUGGCUCUU